GUAAGGUCAAGUCCUAGGGUUGUGUCUGGAGUCCAGAGGAGGCCUAAAGUCUACCACACAGCCACAGAUCCACGAGUCCACUACCGCCAGGUCCAAGUCAAAACCUGGAGAUCCAAAUUAUGCAGGUGACAUUUUUGGAGACAGACGAAGGAAAAAUAAAUCUCCGUUCAACAGAUUCGAAACUUGUUCAAGUCAAAGUACAAAAGAUAUAUUUAUGCAAAGACUGAAAUAGAAAAAGGGGAAGGGUGCCCUUUGGUACGUCACAUUGUUCUACUUACCAGUCCAUACCAUCAAGAGGGCCCGGUGGUCAUUUGCCCCUCAUCUCAUAGAAGAGUAUGAUGACUGAAAUACCAUUUGACUCGUGGGUUUACAGUUUUGACUCGGAUGGGACUCUGUGAUCCCCCAAAAUAUGUAUAUGGAUUCUAGAUUUGUCCACAUAAAAAUAUAUUACAUAAAGUCAAGAAAUCCUUGUGGGUGGGGAC
This is a long non-coding RNA of Hyla sarda, 482 nucleotides long. RefSeq lists it as uncharacterized. The record is from RefSeq and is a predicted model, not a curated record. The transcript has 3 exons. Lineage: Eukaryota; Metazoa; Chordata; Amphibia; Anura; Hylidae.